Long non-coding RNA from Cyanistes caeruleus (blue tit), 1382 nucleotides. RefSeq lists it as uncharacterized. The record is from RefSeq and is a predicted model, not a curated record. Lineage: Eukaryota; Metazoa; Chordata; Aves; Passeriformes; Paridae.
CUUGCUUACAGAAGGACAUUUUCAACCAUUAACUGUAUUUCAAGUCUUCUCAGCUAUUAAAGAAGAUUGCAUGGAUACUUAAAACACCCUGACAUAGCUACAUUUCUUGCAAUGGAAUACGAAACACAGCACUGUGUACUCAGGUUCAUGGAAUGGAGACUGUCCUUCAAGAUAUUUGUUUGUAAAAUGUGCUUCCUCCUACCCAUGUCAUACAUGGCAGAACAUUAUUUACAGUAUUUCAACCUCUAUUUUUGAGCCUGAUUAUAUUAGUGAGAUAAUGAACAACGAGCAAGAAAUAGGUUGUCACAACAAAGGAAUUAUUUGAGGUUUUUCUGUCUUUAGUUUUCCAGAAAUAAAAGAUCUUACUGGAGGUACAGUGUAAUUUUACUAAAAUACCUUUAGCUUGCUGCAGGGGAGGUUUUUUCUUUUAACUUUGUGUUGUCCCACCAGAAACACUGAUAUUUCAGCAGCAUCUCAAAAGAAAACAUGGAAUCCAGCCUUUUCUGGAUGUAUGCAAAGAAGAUUUAAAAAAAAACCUAGCACAGGAGGUCAGAAAAAAGAGGCUGUGUCUUACCAUGGAGGUGAACCAGAAGCUGGCUGUUCCUGACAACCUAUGGAGAAAAAUUCUUCCAUAUGGCUGAUUUGAAAACUCUACAUCACAGAAGAGUAGCUGAAAUUUGGAAAGAUGGUCAUAGAUGGCAGAAGUGCAGCUUGACAGCUAAGCUGCAGACCUGUGACAUUAUUGUCCCCUACCUGCCUCCUUGAAACUGGAGACCCACUGAAGUGAAAGACAAGGACAUUGUCAGCUUUUCCCCAUUGCUGGAAUAGGCAGUUGUCUGAUACAGGAGCCUUGAAGUACAAACUGGACACCACUCUUAAAGAAAUGAAGGAAAUAUGAAAUUCUCUGUCACAGAUCUACAUCUACAACCUAUCUCAUCCUCCUCUCAUACCCAUUUCCCAUCCCUGUGACAUUAUCCCAGAGUCAAGGAACUGAUUUCUGGCUUACAAUGCUUAUGAUGUUAUUUACAGAAAAAAUUGUUUGACUUGUAACAGACACACCAUUCUAGUUUGAUGUUGAAGUACAAAAUGCGAAAGGGAGGCCGUUAAGCACUGGGAGAGUUUUUUUAAAUAGAAAAACCCUUUGUUUUUAUUUGUAAGAAGUUCUAUGGGUUGUGGACAUUUGUGAUCAGGUCAAAACAAAGUGAUUUAUUCCAUGGGAGAAAGAAUAGUAUAAAAAGAAUGUCAUGGAUAGAUGUAACUUGUGAUGAGCUGACCAUAACCUACAUUCCCCAUCUCCCUCACUGCUGGGGACAUUGAUGUAGACCUGGGAAGGUGGGAGGGAUAGGGGGGAGGUGUUUAUAGGAUUUAUUUUACUUCUUAUU